CAAUAGCGUAUAUUAAAGUUGUUGCGGUUAAAAAGCUCGUAGUUGGAUUUCUGCCGAGGACGACCGGUCCGCCCUGCGGGUGAGUAUCUGGGACGACCUGGGCAUCUUCUUGGAGAACGUGUCUGCACUUGACUGUGUGGUGCGGUAUCCAGGACUUUUUUACUUUGAGGAAAUUAGAGUGUUCAAAGCAGGCUUACGCCGUUGAAUAUAUUAGCAUGGAAUAAUAAGAUAGGACCUCGGUUCUAUUUUGUUGGUUUCUAGAGCUGAGGUAAUGAUUAAUAGGGAUAGUUGGGGGCAUUCGUAUUUAACUGUCAGAGGUGAAAUUCUCGGAUUUGUUAAAGACUAACUUAUGCGAAAGCAUUUGCCAAGGAUGUUUUUCAUUGAUCAAGAACGAAAGUUAGGGGAUCGAAGACGAUCAGAU
RNAcentral lists this ribosomal RNA (421 nucleotides) under uncultured eukaryote. RNAcentral's name for it is "SSU rRNA". It matches the Rfam family "Eukaryotic small subunit ribosomal RNA", at positions 592 to 1013 of the family's 1831-position model. The record is from RNAcentral.